GCCGAUCGUUCUUGCGCCGCGUCAGGAACAGAGCUACGAAUGGAAGGGAGCACGAGCCAUAGCCACAGAUGGAGAAGAAAGAGCAUGCGCAGAGGAGGUGAAUUCGUCGCUGUCACCGUCGCGUGUGGAGUCACUGCCACGCCUGGCCUCCGUUGCUGCUGAACUUUGACCGCCACCGUUCCUACUGCCGUCAAGCCUCGGUUAGCACCGCCGAAGCUCCUGCCAUCAUUGUCGUUGAGGAAGCUCACUAGAGUUGCCGGAGGCUGCCGCCGGAGACUGCCGCUGGAUCCUCUAUCAUAUCCUGUUAGAGUUACUGAGAUGAUGGUAAUAUAGGAUCAAAUCGUGGUUCGUGCAUGCCGAGCUCAGUAGUCGUGCAUGCGACAUUAAGCUGCUAUGUCGCCAACGGAGUCGCCGCUGUUCUGUUUUCUCGGAUAUUCGUAGGAUCAGUUUGAGUUUGGCUCUUACGUGCCGUAAUUAAAGUUGUUGUGGUUGCGGCUGUCACGGACUGCGCGCUAAGAGGGAAGGUUCCCUUGACGCGUUUGGUUUUUGGGUCUCGGCUUGUCGAGGAAUCAAAUGAAGAACUCUUAUGAAGAGUCAUACUGCGUUUUGGUUUAUAUGAUGUUGUAUUAAUUAGAUUAUUUUUCUUCUCUCGUCUUUGUUAUUACAAUUCUGUAAGAGGGAUAGGAGAUUUGUGUUUUAUAUGUAUAUUAUUUUAUAAGUUAUUAGGUCAGAAAUCUUGAAUAUGAAUCUAUGUGUUUGUUUUUUUUUAAGAUAAAAUAUUUAU
Molecule: long non-coding RNA, 784 nt
Organism: Arachis duranensis
Lineage: Eukaryota; Viridiplantae; Streptophyta; Magnoliopsida; Fabales; Fabaceae
Exons: 3
Source: RefSeq, a predicted model, not a curated record